Fragaria vesca subsp. vesca is the source of this 572-nucleotide RNA transcript. RefSeq lists it as uncharacterized. The record is from RefSeq and is a predicted model, not a curated record. Lineage: Eukaryota; Viridiplantae; Streptophyta; Magnoliopsida; Rosales; Rosaceae. The transcript is spliced from 2 exons.
AGAUGAAGAAUGUCUGUACGUCCUUGGUCAUAGUUGAUUCACUAUGUAGUUAAAGUUUGAGGAUGAAGAACCAUGUGGAGCUGUGGCUUCUUCUGCAAGUGUCUUCCACUCCAUGGCCUUAGCUUUCAUUUCCUUACCCUUGGAUCUCCCUCCACUAACUCCUUGACAAGAAUGGCCAACAAAGCAUACGAACUCCUGCAGAUAAACUCUCCAUGGCUGACUGCAAACCGGUGUGUGUUAAGAAUCCUCCAAAUAACCGCUUGAGGCGCGCUAGAACACCAGGGUUGCAAAGUCAGAAUUGUCCCCAAGUAUCCUAUUAUUAUUUAUGGAUAAAUACCAGGUCGUGUCCGGCUGCUUCCAACCAUUAAGGCCGUUCCCGUCCAUACCCAGCGUAGUAGAAGCCAUGAAGGUUCAUAAUCUGUUCUUGAAAAAGCGUCGGAAAAAGCCAAAAAAACGUGUCGAAAAUGUCCAGAAACGAAACCGUAAAUAAAUUAAAUAUAUACUUGUAACACCUCAAACUUUACAUGUGGGGGAAAUAUUGACUUUCAAUUUAGAGUUUUAUGUUUUUGCUG